RNAcentral lists this ribosomal RNA (248 nucleotides) under Amblyomma sp. RNAcentral describes it as "partial large subunit ribosomal RNA". The record is from RNAcentral. Lineage: Eukaryota; Metazoa; Arthropoda; Arachnida; Ixodida; Ixodidae.
AGUGCUAAAAGAAUGGAUUUUCAGAAAAUUUCUUUUUUAAAAUUAAUAAUUUAAUUUAUUUUUGUAUGUGAAGAAACAACAAUAAAAAUUAAGGACAAGAAGACCCUAAGAAUUUUUAAAAAAUAAUUUUAAAUUUAAAAUUAUUUUUUUUAAUUGGGGCGAUUAAUAAAUAUAAUUAACUUUAUUUUAAAUAAAUAUGAACCAUUAUUAAUGGUUAAAUGAAUAAAAUACUCUAGGGAUAACAGCGU